This 841-nucleotide ribosomal RNA is filed under the name Bacillus subtilis. Its description in RNAcentral is "bacterial SSU rRNA". It matches the Rfam family "Bacterial small subunit ribosomal RNA", at positions 16 to 838 of the family's 1533-position model. The record is from RNAcentral. Lineage: Bacteria; Bacillati; Bacillota; Bacilli; Caryophanales; Bacillaceae.
AUCCUGGCUCAGGACGAACGCUGGCGGCGUGCCUAAUACAUGCAAGUCGAGCGGACAGAUGGGAGCUUGCUCCCUGAUGUUAGCGGCGGACGGGUGAGUAACACGUGGGUAACCUGCCUGUAAGACUGGGAUAACUCCGGGAAACCGGGGCUAAUACCGGAUGGUUGUUUGAACCGCAUGGUUCAAACAUAAAAGGUGGCUUCGGCUACCACUUACAGAUGGACCCGCGGCGCAUUAGCUAGUUGGUGAGGUAACGGCUCACCAAGGCGACGAUGCGUAGCCGACCUGAGAGGGUGAUCGGCCACACUGGGACUGAGACACGGCCCAGACUCCUACGGGAGGCAGCAGUAGGGAAUCUUCCGCAAUGGACGAAAGUCUGACGGAGCAACGCCGCGUGAGUGAUGAAGGUUUUCGGAUCGUAAAGCUCUGUUGUUAGGGAAGAACAAGUGCCGUUCGAAUAGGGCGGUACCUUGACGGUACCUAACCAGAAAGCCACGGCUAACUACGUGCCAGCAGCCGCGGUAAUACGUAGGUGGCAAGCGUUGUCCGGAAUUAUUGGGCGUAAAGGGCUCGCAGGCGGUUUCUUAAGUCUGAUGUGAAAGCCCCCGGCUCAACCGGGGAGGGUCAUUGGAAACUGGGGAACUUGAGUGCAGAAGAGGAGAGUGGAAUUCCACGUGUAGCGGUGAAAUGCGUAGAGAUGUGGAGGAACACCAGUGGCGAAGGCGACUCUCUGGUCUGUAACUGACGCUGAGGAGCGAAAGCGUGGGGAGCGAACAGGAUUAGAUACCCUGGUAGUCCACGCCGUAAACGAUGAGUGCUAAGUGUUAGGGGGUUUCCGCCC